This 532-nucleotide ribosomal RNA is filed under the name uncultured bacterium. Its description in RNAcentral is "bacterial SSU rRNA". It matches the Rfam family "Bacterial small subunit ribosomal RNA", at positions 8 to 526 of the family's 1533-position model. The record is from RNAcentral.
AGAGUUUGAUCCUGGCUCAGGACGAACGCUGGCGGCGCGCUUAAUACAUGCAAGUCGAGCGAGAACCAGGGCUUCGGCCCUGGGGACAGCGGCGAACGGGUGAGUAACACGUGGGUAAUCAACCCCCGACACCGGGAUAGCCCAGGGAAACUUGGAUUAAUACCGGAUGCUCCGUCUGGCCUUCGGGCCGGCCGGAAAAGGGUAGCUUCGGCCUCCGGUCGGGGACGAGCCCGCGGCGGAUUAGCUUGUUGGUGAGGUAAAGGCUCACCAAGGCGACGAUCCGUAGCUGGUCUGAGAGGACGAUCAGCCACACUGGGACUGAGACACGGCCCAGACUCCUACGGGAGGCAGCAGUAGGGAAUCUUGCGCAAUGGGCGAAAGCCUGACGCAGCGACGCCGCGUGAGGGAAGAAGGCCUUCGGGUUGUAAACCUCUUUCAGGAGGGACGAAGCCACUCGGGUUAAUAGCCUAGAGGGUGACGGUACCUCCAGAAGAAGCCCCGGCUAACUACGUGCCAGCCGCCGCGGUAAUUC